This 372-nucleotide ribosomal RNA is filed under the name uncultured Rozellomycota. RNAcentral describes it as "SSU rRNA". It matches the Rfam family "Eukaryotic small subunit ribosomal RNA", at positions 585 to 972 of the family's 1831-position model. Lineage: Eukaryota; Fungi; Rozellomycota. The record is from RNAcentral.
CCAGCUCCAAUAGCGUAUAUUAAAGUUGUUGCAGUUAAAAAGCUCGUAGUCGAAAUUUUGGCUGUGGUGCGUGGUGGGCUUUGCCUUACUGCGUGGUGCGGCCUUUAGCGGUGGCGCGUGGUGCACUUUGCUGUGCGGCAGGCGGCGACUGCGGGGUUACUUUGACGAAAUUAGGGUGUUCAAGGCAGGCUUUGGCCUGGAUAGAUUAGCAUGGAAUAACGGAAUAGGGCCAGUGUUCUAUUUUGUUGGUUGAGGACGUGGGCAAUGGUGGAUAGGGGCAGUUGGGGGCAUUAGUAUUCGGUAGUCAGAGGUGAAAUUCUUGGAUUUACCGAGGACUAACUAGUGCGAAAGCAUUUGCCAAGGAUGUACCCG